AGAAAGAAAGGACUUGACUGUGCGGGUCAGUAUCAUUUGUUCUAGCGGUGCCGGCCCCAGGGCGUGUGGGGCAGCUCCAGCAUCCCUGCAGCUCAUCCCUGCGGGCUGGGGCUGGCAGCGGGCAGGGACAGGGACAGGGACAGGGACAGGGGCGGGGAGCAGUGGCCUUUGACGGGGCAUGGCGGAGCCCCGGUCCCUGCGCUGGGCACAGAUACUGGGGUGACGAGGGGGGAAAAUGUAUUUUGUUUGUUUUCCGUUCUGCAGAUCACUGUGAAUCCUGCCCGCUCAGCCCUGCCCCCCACCCCAGCCCUGCCAAAGAGCCCGCUCUGGCCGGGGCGGCGUGCUGCUUGUCCCCUGCAGGACAUGUCCCCAUGUCCCCGAGUGCCCGGCGGAGCGGGAGGUGCCACAUGUCCCCAGAAGGGCCGUGGCUGCCCCCGGGGGCUGCGGUGACGGUGUUGUGCCCCCCAGUCACUCCGCUGGGUGCCAAGGAGGGGGACAGCGUGGCUGCUCAGCCCUGGCACCCCUCACACCCUCACACCCGGCCAGAAGAGGUGCGGCGGGGCUGGGGGGGCCCGGAGCAGGUGACAGCCGUGUCACCCCGCGGUGCCGCACCCGCCGCGCUGCUCCCGGCAGUGCGGGGGUCCCUGGGGACCCUCCCUCACCCCGCUCAGAGCCACCCCAUCAACCGGGUCCAGGGGAGCCCCCGGCAUGGCCACCCCGGGGGGCUGGGGAGGGCGCCAGGCGGUAAUUAGUGCUGGGGUUAAUUAAUGGUCAUUCUGCUUGUAGCUUUUUCAGUGUGUGUUUGGUUACUGUCUCUGGGAACCGUGUUUGAACAGAUGGCUCUGUGUUACCGGGAGUGUGUGUACUUCUGUAGUCUAGUUAGGUGCUCUGCCAGAAAACCACCACUAUACAUACCUAUAAAUAUAUACAUAUAUAGUCUAUUUUAAGUUAAAAACCAAUGAGGCGAAGGGGCGGUGUGACCCCGGGCCCCCCGUCCCGCCGGGGUCACUUCCUUCCCUGUCCCCACCCAAAAGCUUCUCUCUGCUCAUUCAAAGGUUUUUACUUGAUUUUCUUUAAUUUAUUUUUAAUUUCUUUGGGUUUCAUUUUUUUUUUUUUUUUGUACAGAAGAGUUGGAAAACUAAAAAAAAAAAAAAACAAAAAAACCAACAAAAAGACAAUUUGUAAGAUAUCGUGCGUGUGACUCCUUGUAAAAUAUUUUCAAAUGGUUUAUUACAGAGACUCAGUUAUUAAAUAAUGUUCAUAUUUUCACUUCA
Long non-coding RNA from Oenanthe melanoleuca, 1274 nucleotides. RefSeq lists it as uncharacterized. The transcript is spliced from 2 exons. NCBI's taxonomy places the organism in Eukaryota, Metazoa, Chordata, Aves, Passeriformes, Muscicapidae. The record is from RefSeq and is a predicted model, not a curated record.